This 792-nucleotide ribosomal RNA is filed under the name uncultured Neocallimastigales. Its description in RNAcentral is "partial large subunit ribosomal RNA". It matches the Rfam family "Eukaryotic large subunit ribosomal RNA", at positions 24 to 644 of the family's 3401-position model. Lineage: Eukaryota; Fungi; Neocallimastigomycota; Neocallimastigomycetes; Neocallimastigales. The record is from RNAcentral.
UAUGUGAUCGUCUCUCGCAUAUCAAUAAGCGGAGGAAAAGAAAAUAACAAGGAUUUCCCCUAGUAACGGCGAGUGAAGCAGGGAAAGAGCUCAAAUUUGAACCUGCUUGACUUAGGUUAAUCCGGAUUGUAACUGUAAGAACGUGUUUUCUAGUGCAGGUCUGAGUUAAAAGUCCUUUGGAACUAGGGACAUCAUAGAGGGUGAGAAUCCCGUCUUUGACUCUAGUACUUUGUCAACUUUUGAUGAUACACUUUCCAAGAGUCAGGAUUGUUUGGGAAUGCAGUCCUAAAUUGGGUGGUAAAUCUCAUCCUAAAGCUAAAUAUUGGCGAGAGACCGAUAGGCGAACAAGUACCGUGAGGGAAAGAUGAAAAGAACUUUGAAAAGAGAGUUAAACAGUACGUGAAAUUGUCAAAAGGGAAGCGUUUGACACCAGUGUUGUUUUUCUGAAAAUCAAUUAAAGAACUGUUUAUGCUAAGUUGUUUAGACUUUAUCAGCUAACUGUUUAGUUUUGAGCUUUUCUUUAAUGCACUUUUCAGUUAACAAGUCAACAUCAAUUUCUUCUGCUGUAAAAAAGCUUGAGGAAGGUGGCUUGAGAUUCGUCUUAAGUGUUUAUAGCCUCUUGCCUAUGCAGUCGGAGAGAUUGAGGUCUGCAGCGUAGAUCCUUCGGGGCUAAAUGCAUUUGUGCUAAGUUAUAGCAUUUUAUAGACAUCUUGUUGACUAUGAUUUGUCUUGUAGCUUACUCGCUUAUGUUAUUUUACCUACGCUUAGGAUGUUGAAGAUAUGCGCGACACG